RNAcentral lists this unclassified non-coding RNA (919 nucleotides) under Hevea brasiliensis (rubber tree). Lineage: Eukaryota; Viridiplantae; Streptophyta; Magnoliopsida; Malpighiales; Euphorbiaceae. The record is from RNAcentral.
ACCACCAAUUUGGUGGUUUGAAAAAUUAUGGUAAAAUGAUGACCAGAAAAUCAUUUAUAACCAUCAUUUUACCAUACAAAACUACCAAUUUUUAAGAAUAAUAUUUCAAUACAUGUAAAGUAACCAUACCAUACAAUAUAACAUAAACUGUGAUCCAAACAUAAUGUUAAAGUCACAAGUUAGAAAAUUGAGAUUAAGAUUUUGGAAGACAGUUAAAAACUCAAUUUCAAGAUGAUUAAUAAAAUGCAAAUCAACUUGCCUUUCCCGAGUGACGCAAACCAACCAAGCCCUUUGAGAAGCAGCGGUGAGACUCUAAUCAGCAUUACAGCCAAGCAAAUAUUAAUCGACCAUCACAGAACAUCUGAGUCCAAAAUAUUCACACUUCACGCUGAACUGUCAUCAAUAAUUUAUUCUAAUCUUCUAUAGCUGAUGCCUGAUGGUGAAAGCCCUUCAUUUCUAGUGAGUAAAAUGAGUGUAGGCAAUCACUUUUGUCAAUGAAAACAAAAACAAAAACAAAAACAAAUACAUAAUGCAAAUUAGGUGUGAAUUCGAUAGUCAGAUAAAAACUGCGCCACUACUAAAGUAUGCACAGACGGUGACCCUCUAAAAAACACACCUUUAAUAUUGUACAGGAAUCAACCACUUGCUUGGUCAAUUGCCCCAUGUUCAAACGCAGGAAAAGUUUCACCAAAUAUUUGUUUUUCUUCUGAUCAAUAAGCAUUUCAUCCAUACAAACAUACUAACAAAUUAGGCCGAGAACUGUUGACUCUAUACUCUAAUGGAAGUUCCAAGGUCAUAGAGAGAGAAAUGAGAGUGAGAAUGAAACUGUUAACUCUAUAUCGUAGCAGAAAUAGAGAGAGAAAAGAGAGUGAGAAUGAAACUGUUAACUCUAUAUCGUAGCAGAAAUAGAGAGAGAAAA